This is a non-coding RNA of Trichobilharzia regenti, 46 nucleotides long. Lineage: Eukaryota; Metazoa; Platyhelminthes; Trematoda; Strigeidida; Schistosomatidae. The record is from Rfam.
GUACGGAUGAAGAGUCCCAAACUAGGAGGAAAUAGCUGUCCAGUAC